AUUGAACGCUGGCGGCAUGCCUAACACAUGCAAGUCGAACGCGAAAGCCGCUUCGGUGGUGAGUAGAGUGGCGGACGGGUGAGUAGCGCGUGGGAAUCUGCCCUGUAGUGGGGGACAACCCGGGGAAACCCGGGCUAAUACCGCAUACGUCCUAGGGGAGAAAGGGGGCCUCUGCUUGCAUGCUCCCGCUAUGGGAUGAGCCCGCGUCCGAUUAGCUUGUUGGUGGGGUAAGGGCCUACCAAGGCGACGAUCGGUAGCUGGUCUGAGAGGAUGGCCAGCCACACUGGGACUGAGACACGGCCCAGACUCCUACGGGAGGCAGCAGUGGGGAAUAUUGGACAAUGGGCGCAAGCCUGAUCCAGCAAUGCCGCGUGUGUGAAGAAGGCCUGCGGGUUGUAAAGCACUUUCAGUGGGGAAGAAAAGCCUGG
This 428-nucleotide ribosomal RNA is filed under the name uncultured bacterium. RNAcentral's name for it is "bacterial SSU rRNA". It matches the Rfam family "Bacterial small subunit ribosomal RNA", at positions 28 to 457 of the family's 1533-position model. The record is from RNAcentral.